ACGAACGCUGGCGGCGCGCCUAACACAUGCAAGUCGAACGAGCGAGAGAGAGCUUGCUUUCUCGAGCGAGUGGCGAACGGGUGAGUAACGCGUGAGGAACCUGCCUCAAAGAGGGGGACAACAGUCGGAAACGACUGCUAAUACCGCAUAAGCCCACGACCCGGCAUCGGGUCGAGGGAAAAGGAGCAAUCCGCUUUGAGAUGGCCUCGCGUCCGAUUAGCUAGUUGGUGAGGUAACGGCCCACCAAGGCGACGAUCGGUAGCCGGACUGAGAGGUUGAACGGCCACAUUGGGACUGAGACACGGCCCAGACUCCUACGGGAGGCAGCAGUGGGGAAUAUUGCACAAUGGGGGAAACCCUGAUGCAGCGACGCCGCGUGGAGGAAGAAGGUCUUCGGAUUGUAAACUCCUGUUGUUGAGGAAGAUAAUGACGGUACUCAACAAGGAAGUGACGGCUAACUACGUGCCAGCAGCCGCCGUAA
This 481-nucleotide ribosomal RNA is filed under the name uncultured bacterium. Its description in RNAcentral is "partial 16S ribosomal RNA". It matches the Rfam family "Bacterial small subunit ribosomal RNA", at positions 29 to 523 of the family's 1533-position model. The record is from RNAcentral.